UAGUAAAUGUCAAUUCACUUUUCAUAGCCAAGCAUUCGGAGGUUGAGAUGGCAGAUGCGGUGGAGGGAGAGAGAGAGUUGUAAACAGCAGGUCCGGGACAAGUUAGCAUGUCCUGUGAACAGAAAUACAAAGUUUUAUGUCUGGGGGAAAUACAACACAUUACUGAGUACCACUCCAUAUUUUCAAGCAUAGAGGUGGCUGUGUCAUGUUAUGGGCCUUGAAAAAUAGGGGUAGGGUUGUAGAGAAUUGAAAGACCAUGAAUGUAAUAAGAAACCUUAGGUGCUGGUUUAAGACCGAUAGUAACCACUACAGAAUGUCAGGUCAGAACAAGGAUUAGGAGGAUGUCCAGUUUAAGGGGAGUUUAAUGUAAGAUGUCCACACACAUCACACACACACACACAUAUAUCCACUCAUGGUUCAGAUAACUGAGAAUCAUAUCCAGUGAGAACUGACAUUAACUAUGUGGUCGUUUAGAUGCACACACAAUUAAACAUCAGACAUACAGGGAUUAAGUCCACAGGAGAAAGAGUUCAGCAGGAGGGAAACUGGGGAAGUGCUCAUCAGGAUGGGGAAGCAUGUUUUGACCACACAGCGUGCUCGGGUCAUAGACUAACUGAAAAUGAAGUCCCGGGAAUCAAGGCAACUGAUGGGCUGAAGGAGAUGUGGUGAUAAGUAUUUGGCGUGACCUUGACCAAUAAAUAAGACACUGACAAAGGUGGGGGUCCUCUAAAUGGGAGACUAAGCUGCCCAACUAGAACUAACCAGGAUGGCUAGAAUCAGCUGUCUGCUUUAACAGGUAUGCUAAAGCAAAGGAGAAAAUCCUACAGGGAAACCUGGUUCAGUCUGCUUUCCAUCAGACACUGGGAGAUGAAUUCACAUUUUACCAGGACAAUAAUCUAAACACAAGGCCACAUCUACACUGGAGUUGCUUACCAAGAUGCCAACUUUCAGUUUUGACUUACAUCUAUGGCAAAACCUUGAAAUGGUUGUCAAGCAAUGAUCAAUAAACAACUAAUUUGAGAGGUUGAAAAAUAAAAAUAAAAAAGGGCAAAUAUUGCACAAUCCAGGUUAGAGCCUUACCCAGAAUGACUCACAGCUUUAAUCGCUGCCAGAGGUGCUUCUACAAAGUAUUGACUCGGGUGUGAAUACUUAUGUAAAAGAGAUAUUUCUGAAUUUCAUUUUCAAUAAAUUUGAAAACAUUCCUAAAAAUAUGUUUUGACUUUGUCGUUAUGGGGUAUUAAACAGUGCUUAAUUUGAGCCGGAUCCUGCUAGAACCAGAUCCGGGAGCUCUCUGAGUUGACUUUGUUCAUUCAGACACCUUCUUUCUCAGAUCCGGUACCUCUCGCGGCAUUAUUUAUAAAUUAUUUCACUGUUUGCAAAUACAUAAAUAAAAUAUAUUUUUGACUUUUUACCCAUUUUUCUCAAUUUCGUGAUAUAAUUGGUAGUUAGUCUUGUCUCAUCGUUGCAACUCCCAUAUGGACUUUGUACGAGAUGAAGGUCAAAACACGACCCUGCCAAGCCGCACUGCUUUUUGACACUGCUUGCCUAACCUGGAAGCCAGCCGCACGAAUGUGUCAGAGGAAACACCAUACAACUGGCGACUGAAGUCAGCAUGCAUGCGCCUGGCCCGCCACAAGGAGUCUGAUGGGACAAGGACAUCCCGGGCCGGCUAAACCUUACCCGGACAACUCUGAGCCAAUUUUGCGUCGCCUCAUGGGUCUCCCGGUCGCGGCCGGCUGCAACACAGCCUGGGAUCAAACCCGGGUCUAUAGUGACACCUCAAGCACUGCUUUUCAUUUUUUUUUUGUGCAAACAGUGAAACAAUGAAUAAAUAAUGCCGCAAGAGGUACUGUUAAAUUAAGUUGGCUCCUCGUUAUUUCUCCUGCCCCAUCAUCAUGUAAAAGUGUGGUGAUCCUUCUGUGUAAUCAUCCUAUCCUGCCACACUGAUUUAAACUAUCAAAAGAGUGGGUGGAAUGUACAGUUACAUCCUCUGCCUCAGUUGUAAAAAAGCCAAAAAAACAAAGAGCCGUCAGAAAAAAGGUUUUUGAACAUGCUCCAACCAAGGUACAUUUGGUGUCAGCCAGCCUUGUAGACAAGGACACCCAGGUUAUAGUUACUCUAUAGACAGUUUUUACAUUUUGAGUGCUAUCUUCCCAACCUCCUUAGGAGGCUAAACAUCACAGCCACAGGCCCUCUCGUAGCUUUGAGCAAGAAAUUGACUGUCAGUAGUUAAGUGGACUUGAUACUGGGAUUGUCAUUGUGGGAGGUUAAUGUGAAUAUGUGCAUCAUAUUGUCACAUAGGCAGGAAGCCUAUAUAUUCUCGUGUGUCCUGCUGUAGCCUAUAUUGAUUUAUUUGAUUUGAAGUUAUCUUCCGAUAUUGUGAUAUUGGUUCUACUGCUACAUGAUGUCUGGUAAGCCCCACAGCUGACUGUGUGUAUGUGGCGGGCUUUCUGCAGUGAUGUCUUGAAAAUAAUAUGAAUUUGAGUCUGGUAAACCCCACAGCUGACUGUGUGUGUGUAUAUGGCGGGCUUUCUGCAGUGAUGUCUUGAAAAUAAUAUGAAUUCGAGUCUGGUAAGCCCCACAGCUUACUAUGUGUGUGUAUAUGUUCUGCAGUGAUGUGUAACAACGUUGCUGUACAUUGAUGUCUAGAAAAUGAGGCAAUAAGAAAUUCAGACUUGUAUAAGCCCUGCAGCUAUACUCAAGUACGUGGGCAAAAAUUAUUUGAAUUAAUCAGCACCUUGGAGAGUGCUGUCCAUUUCACCACCAUAGAUAGUAGGCUACUUGGCUGUUUAUUCUGUCUGCUGUGCUGCUACGUUGUUUGACUUCUUUUUCUCAAUGCGUUCUGGUAUCUCAGAGCCCCCCCCCCCUCCAUUUUCAUGUUUAUCUCAGUUUAUCAUUCAUUUUCUCUCUCAUAGUUUGAUGGGCCAAUCCCGUGCCCUGGGUUCGGCUGUGACAUGAUCAUGGAGGAGGUGCCUGUGAGGAAACAUGGCGUUUCCAUGGUGACUGCAGACGUAGGGCUGGUCAGCAUGGUGUGACAGGGCAUCCUAGCUCUACAGCUGUUGCCCCCCAACUCCAUUGCAGGUGUAAUCAUAAUUACUGAUGGGGUGACCAGUGUGCCUGACGUGGCUGUGUGUGAGACCCUUCUGAACCAGCUCAGGAGUGGAACCAUCACCUGCUCCUUCAUUCAGUGUCUCAGCACAAGCUGUUCAAUGAGCACCUGGUGUCAGCUCGUGGGAACCCUGCAUUAGUGAUGAGGAGGAAGAAGCACGCAGAGAAGGAGGUGCACACCCACCUGGUUCUCUCCCUACAGCACAGUUGCUCUAAAGACUCCUCCCAGUCCCAGUUUGCCUCAUACUGGAAGCCCAUCCUGUACAUGGAUGCAAACUUCUGGCAGAGAUGGCUUCACAUGCACCACAUCACCAUCAUCCUGGGGCACGACAUGUGAGAGAUGCCUUGAGAGAUUGUACCUUUUUUGUUGUUGUCAAUUUAUCAAUAUCAUCCUUGGGAGCAGUCUUUACAGUCCUCUCCCAGUCAAUAGUAGAGAGAGAGAACUGUGGACCUUCUCUUGUUCCGUUACUGACUGUUUCAGGUCUACGCACCAACUAUUGUACAGUUGUUCCUCCUUUAAAAGUUGCGAGCUUACGCUGCGGGACUUAGAGGUAAUUUGUGGUUUAGUACGGCUAUUGUAAAGUGACUGUUCCACUGGAUGUCAUAAGGUGAAUGCAGGUGAA
Oncorhynchus gorbuscha (pink salmon) is the source of this 3731-nucleotide long non-coding RNA. RefSeq lists it as uncharacterized. The record is from RefSeq and is a predicted model, not a curated record. The transcript has 4 exons. Lineage: Eukaryota; Metazoa; Chordata; Actinopteri; Salmoniformes; Salmonidae.